This 605-nucleotide long non-coding RNA is filed under the name Homo sapiens (human). RNAcentral describes it as "non-protein coding LINC00963:17". The record is from RNAcentral. Lineage: Eukaryota; Metazoa; Chordata; Mammalia; Primates; Hominidae.
CUCACUCCCUCUAUUGCCUCUCCAGACCCAGACUUCACCCUCAGGUCACCCUCACCUGGACUUUGGGGUGCCCCACACCCCGCCCCAGGCCCUGGCCUCUGGAAUAUUUGGAAACUUGAACUGGGCCAGAGGCUUAAGCUCACAUCUGUCUGGAGCCUCAACUUUCUCCUCUGUAAAAUGGGCUAACACUGAAAGAACCUUGCAGAAUCUCAGCAACGUCACAGAGGACAUUGUUAGCACAGCCAGCGGGCUCCUGCUGGGCUGAGUUUGUGGGUAAUCCAAGCCUCGGCAGGUACAGUUCCUCCCUCAGGGCCCAGGACACAGUGAGCAUACAAUAGACAUUAGCUGCUGUGGUGUCUUGAUUUCAAGCCCAGUGCAGAUGCAUCUGACUUACGAAACUUCAGUGACACCUGCUCUGUGCCAGACACUGAAGAUGGAGCAGUGAACAGCACUGACCCAGCCUGUCCUCCUGUUGCCUGCAGGCCAGACGGAGUCUCACUCUGUCACCAGGCUGGAGUACAGUGGUGUGAUCUCGGCUCACUGCAACCUCCGCCUCCCAGGUUCAAGCGAUUCUCCUGCCUCAGCCUCUCAAGUAGCUGAGAUUA